UGCGGAAGGAUCAUUAUCGAGUUUUGAACGGGUUGUAGCUGACCUCUUUUUGGGGUAUGUGCACGCCUGGCUCAUCCACUCUCAACCUCUGUGCACUUCAUGUAAGAGAACGGUGUAAGCUGAUUUUGUAAAGAAGUCAGUGACAAGCCUUCUCUUGCGUUUUACCACAAACACUUCAGUUAUAGAAUGUUUACUGUGUAUAACACAAUUAUAUACAACUUUCAGCAACGGAUCUCUUGGCUCUCGCAUCGAUGAAGAACGCAGCGAAAUGCGAUAAGUAAUGUGAAUUGCAGAAUUCAGUGAAUCAUCGAAUCUUUGAACGCACCUUGCACUCCUUGGUAUUCCGAGGAGUAUGCCUGUUUGAGUCUCAUGGUAUUCUCAACCCCUAAAUUUUUCUAGUGAAGAUUUGGUGGGCUUGGACUUGGAGGUUGUGUUGGCUCUCGCUAGUCGACUCCUCUGAAAUACAUUAGUGUGAACCUUACGGAUCGCCUUCAGUGUGAUAAUUAUCUGCGCUGUGGUGGUGAAGUAUUUAUUGUAUUCACGCUUCUAACCGUCUCUCCUUCGAGACAAAUACUUUGACAAUCUGAGCUCAAAUCAGGUAGGAUUACCCGCUGAACUUAAGCAUAUCAAUAAGCGGAGGAAAAGAA
Molecule: ribosomal RNA, 647 nt
Filed under: Flavodon sp. BAB-3601
Lineage: Eukaryota; Fungi; Basidiomycota; Agaricomycetes; Polyporales; Irpicaceae
Description: eukaryotic LSU rRNA
Rfam family: 5.8S ribosomal RNA (bases 217-370)
Source: RNAcentral